UGGCGGNGUGCUUUACACAUGCAAGUCGAACGGCAGCACGGGGCAACCUGGUGGCGAGUGGCGAACGGGUGAGUAAUGUAUCGGAACGUACCUUUCAGUGGGGGAUAACGUAGCGAAAGUUACGCUAAUACCGCAUAUUCUGUGAGCAGGAAAGCAGGGGAUCGCAAGACCUUGCGCUGAUUGAGCGGCCGAUAUCAGAUUAGCUAGUUGGUGAGGUAAAGGCUCACCAAGGCGACGAUCUGUAGCGGGUCUGAGAGGAUGAUCCGCCACACUGGAACUGAGACACGGUCCAGACUCCUACGGGAGGCAGCAGUGGGGAAUUUUGGACAAUGGGGGGAACCCUGAUCCAGCCAUGCCGCGUGAGUGAAGAAGGCCUUCGGGUUGUAAAGCUC
Molecule: ribosomal RNA, 392 nt
Filed under: uncultured bacterium
Lineage: Bacteria
Description: bacterial SSU rRNA
Rfam family: Bacterial small subunit ribosomal RNA
Source: RNAcentral